AGAUGAGGCAGUAAGAGCCACUUGAGUCUACGAUUUCCGAAUGGGGAAACCCAACUGCAUAAGCAGUUAUCUCAAUGUGAAUUCAUAGCAUUGUGAGGCGAACCGGGGGAACUGAAACAUCUAAGUACCCCGAGGAAGAGAAAUCAACCGAGAUUCCGGCAGUAGCGGCGAGCGAAACCGGAUUAGCCCUUAAGCUAAUCUUGCGUUAGGUGAACAUGCUGGAAAGCAUGGCAAUAAAGGGUGAUAGCCCCGUAACCAACAGCGCUUUAUCAGUGAAAUCGAGUAGGACGGGACACGUGUUAUCCUGUCUGA
RNAcentral lists this ribosomal RNA (312 nucleotides) under Vibrio vulnificus. RNAcentral describes it as "bacterial LSU rRNA". It matches the Rfam family "Bacterial large subunit ribosomal RNA", at positions 79 to 441 of the family's 2925-position model. The record is from RNAcentral. Lineage: Bacteria; Pseudomonadati; Pseudomonadota; Gammaproteobacteria; Vibrionales; Vibrionaceae.